RNAcentral lists this ribosomal RNA (253 nucleotides) under uncultured bacterium. Its description in RNAcentral is "partial 16S ribosomal RNA". It matches the Rfam family "Archaeal small subunit ribosomal RNA", at positions 474 to 727 of the family's 1478-position model. The record is from RNAcentral.
UACCAGCUCCUCGAGUGGUCGGGACGAUUAUUGGGCCUAAAGCAUCCGUAGCCUGUUCUGUAGGUCUCCUGUUAAAUUCAACCGCUCAACGGUUGGGCCGCAGGAGAUACCGCAGGACUAGGAGGCGAGAGAGGCGGACGGUACUCCGCAGGUAGGGGUAAAAUCCUUUGAUCUGCGGAAGACCACCAGUGGCGAAGGCGGUCCGCCAGAACGCGCUCGACGGUGAGGGAUGAAAGCUGGGGGAGCGAACCGG